GCCAGCGUGGUGGAGCGGUUAACAUGUCACCAGUAUUUCUCAGCCUUUUCUGUUUUGUGGUGAAGACCUCGGUUCGAUUCUGAGCGCUGGCA
Molecule: non-coding RNA, 92 nt
Organism: Mycena epipterygia
Lineage: Eukaryota; Fungi; Basidiomycota; Agaricomycetes; Agaricales; Mycenaceae
Source: the annotation of a GenBank genome assembly